This 253-nucleotide ribosomal RNA is filed under the name uncultured bacterium. RNAcentral describes it as "partial 16S ribosomal RNA". It matches the Rfam family "Bacterial small subunit ribosomal RNA", at positions 524 to 776 of the family's 1533-position model. The record is from RNAcentral.
UACAGGGGAUGCAAGUGUUAUCCGGAAUUAUUGGGCGUAAAGCGUCUGCAGGUGGACAAGUAAGUCUUUUGUUAAAUUUCUAGGCUCAACCUGGAGUCGGCAAAAGAAACUACUUGUCUUGAGUAUGGUAGAGGUAAAGGGAAUUUCAAGUGGAGCGGUGAAAUGCGUAGAUAUUUGAACGAACUCCAAUAGCGAAGGCACUUUACUGGGCCAGUACUGACACUCAGAGACGAAGGCUAGGGGAGCAAACAGG